GGGAAAUAAAACGAAGAAUUCAGUCGGUCAGAAGAGGAAUUCGUCGGAUAAUUGAGGAAAUAUAUAAUAGAAAGGGGAACAACUUCCACAAUUUUGUGAUGUCAUCGGGCACUGGUUCACGUCUGAAAACGAAUACCAAGUGACAUCGAUGGCAAAGAAUUAUAUACAUGAGAUACAUCAUCAAUAUUUAUCAACUUUUAUGACAAAAAGAGGAGCUUAUUAAUUUUCCUGUUGACUUCAUCAGAAUAAACAAUGAAAUUUUUCUUUUAACCAGAGUUUGAUAGCAAGUUUUCUUCACUAUCUGGAAUGUUUUACCAGUUAAUUCUGCAUUCUAUGUAGUUAAUCUUUGAGAAAUUUGCAAAGAAUGUUUUCUAACGUCUUCAGAUAUCAACAAAGAUCAUAGUUGUUGGAAAUAUAGCGGAAAAGAUUUUUUUUUGUUAAGAAGUGAAACAUUUCUGUAUUGUGGUGAAGAAAAAAAAA
Octopus sinensis (East Asian common octopus) is the source of this 480-nucleotide long non-coding RNA. RefSeq lists it as uncharacterized. Lineage: Eukaryota; Metazoa; Mollusca; Cephalopoda; Octopoda; Octopodidae. The record is from RefSeq and is a predicted model, not a curated record. The transcript is spliced from 2 exons.